Molecule: ribosomal RNA, 253 nt
Filed under: uncultured bacterium
Lineage: Bacteria
Description: partial 16S ribosomal RNA
Rfam family: Bacterial small subunit ribosomal RNA
Source: RNAcentral
CACGAGGGGUGCGAGCGUUGUUCGGAAUCACUGGGCGUAAAGGGCGCGUAGGCGGCCUUCUAAGUCGGGAGUCUAAUCACGGGGCCUAACCCCGUGGCCGCUCCCGAUACUGGAAGGCUUGGAUCCCUCCGGGGCUGUCGGAACACCUGGUGUAGCGGUGGAAUGCGUAGAUAUCAGGUGGAACACCAGUGGCGAAGGCGGACAGCUGGGAGGAGAUCGACGCUGAGGCGCGAAAGCAUGGGGAGCGAACAGG